GUUAAAGUGUGCUAAGCCACCGAGUACAUCUUUGAGGGUGUCAACCUUUUAAAACUGUAUUGGGAGGCUGAGCAGAGCUAAAAGAAAAGGAAAACAGUUGAGAUGUCAGCUAAAGAACACGCUGAAGCAAUAUCAUUUGAAAGGAAGAUUGAUGUACUAACUGCAUGCAGAUCAACAGGUAUUGUG
Mauremys mutica (yellowpond turtle) is the source of this 186-nucleotide long non-coding RNA. RefSeq lists it as uncharacterized. Lineage: Eukaryota; Metazoa; Chordata; Testudines; Geoemydidae. The transcript has 3 exons. The record is from RefSeq and is a predicted model, not a curated record.